This is a non-coding RNA of Paramuricea clavata, 174 nucleotides long. Lineage: Eukaryota; Metazoa; Cnidaria; Anthozoa; Malacalcyonacea; Plexauridae. The record is from the annotation of a GenBank genome assembly.
AGACACACCGGACGCGAUUCGACAACGCGACGCGAUUUUUUAGUUUUUGAAAGUUAAUAAAACAGCCAAUGAGAGCAAUACUUGGAAAAUUUAAAUUAAACUAGGAUCAAAGUUAUAGGUCGAAUCGAAAAUCGAAAAAUCGCGUCGCGUUGUCGAAUCGCGUCCGGUGUGUUC